This 224-nucleotide long non-coding RNA is filed under the name Helianthus annuus (common sunflower). RNAcentral's name for it is "sRNA HanXRQr2_Chr03g0095311". The record is from RNAcentral. Lineage: Eukaryota; Viridiplantae; Streptophyta; Magnoliopsida; Asterales; Asteraceae.
UAUACCGGUAACCAUGUUAGGACGUGGUGACCAACGUGAUUGACAAGUAACCUAAACCUACCGAGCAACCCAAGGUGAGUUCACAACUUAAAAUUAUAUGUUAAUGCGAUUCAAUGCAUGCGUCCCGGUGGUUUGGGACAACUGGUAAACAUUUGGAAGGGAAACAUUGGGUAAAUAACUUAAUCGGUUUUGGUUAUUGCCUGGAGGGCAAUGGGGGUGAUUAG